Molecule: ribosomal RNA, 118 nt
Filed under: Schistocephalus solidus
Lineage: Eukaryota; Metazoa; Platyhelminthes; Cestoda; Diphyllobothriidea; Diphyllobothriidae
Source: RNAcentral
GUCAGCGACCAUACCACGUAGCAGAACCAGUUCUCGACCGAUCACCGAACUUAAGCUACGUUGUGUACGGUUUUAACUUGCAUGGGUGACCGGCUAAGAAUACCGGGUGUUGCUGACA